CACAUCAUUCGCAGGAGACAGCAGCGACAUGCUCGUUUACGGCAUCUCCUUUGUGCGAUUUCCCUCGCGCACGUGUUUGCUACGCGACACCAGCGGCAGAUCUGUGCCCCGAUCCUGAAAAGGAACUUGAUAGGCAGCGCACAAAGCCAACUGCGGUUCAACCUUGGGGGCCCAUCGGGGUGUUUUUUGCGCAGCCGCCGGGCUUUGGAGCACGUGAGCGCGCCAAGGUACAGUUUGCGCCGCGACCGCCAAGCGGCCACCGGAUGCAAUGCGUCCAAGCUCGAACAGAAUGCUCCAGGCAGUCUGCGUGCUCAUCUUUCUGUUAUUGGCGCCGACGACUGUUCAAUGUGAUAGGCCUUCCAGUGGAACCAUACGUGCCACCAUCGUACACGAAAAAUCUACGAGAAAUAAGACAUGUUCCAAUUGAAUAAGCUGAAGACCAACUACUUGACUACUUACAAGACAGCGGCGUCAUUUCCGUCAAGACGCAAACCAGAUGGCUCCGGCGAGAAGAUAGAGCAGUGGAACCACAUGCACCUGCGAGCGUCAUCCUACAAUUCUUGCCUGACAAACCAUUGCCAACACGCGUUCUAUUUGGAUUCCCGAGUCCUACAAUAGAAGUAUAUUUAGAACCUCGAA
Dermacentor albipictus is the source of this 639-nucleotide non-coding RNA. NCBI's taxonomy places the organism in Eukaryota, Metazoa, Arthropoda, Arachnida, Ixodida, Ixodidae. The record is from RefSeq and is a predicted model, not a curated record.